RNAcentral lists this transfer RNA (69 nucleotides) under Bipes tridactylus. RNAcentral's name for it is "tRNA-Asp". The record is from RNAcentral. Lineage: Eukaryota; Metazoa; Chordata; Lepidosauria; Squamata; Bipedidae.
GAGGCGCUAGUAAAACAUUACAUGGCCCUGUCAGUGCCAAAUUAUAGGGCCUCGCCCCUAUGCAUCUCA